Perognathus longimembris pacificus (Pacific pocket mouse) is the source of this 238-nucleotide long non-coding RNA. RefSeq lists it as uncharacterized. The transcript is spliced from 2 exons. NCBI's taxonomy places the organism in Eukaryota, Metazoa, Chordata, Mammalia, Rodentia, Heteromyidae. The record is from RefSeq and is a predicted model, not a curated record.
GUCCCAAGUUUACAUUUGCCCAUGGAUUUUUCUCUGGCACCAGCGUUGGGCUUGCUUGGUGUUUAGAAUGUGGGGUGAGUGAACGCCUUCAUUCGUGCAGCAGUGUGUCCCUCCAUCUAACCCAGGGGCUUUUGCAUUUCUGUUUAUUCUACAUUGUCUUUAUGAAGGAACUUGCAAAUCCUGAGAUCAACCCCCAGUGAUAGAUUCUCAAUCCUCCCUAAAUACAAAGUGAUGGCUU